This 497-nucleotide ribosomal RNA is filed under the name uncultured bacterium. RNAcentral describes it as "partial 16S ribosomal RNA". It matches the Rfam family "Bacterial small subunit ribosomal RNA", at positions 28 to 507 of the family's 1533-position model. The record is from RNAcentral.
GAUGAACGCUGGCGGCGUGCCUAAUACAUGCAAGUCGAGCGAACGGACGAGAAGCUUGCUUCUCUGAUGUUAGCGGCGGACGGGUGAGUAACACGUGGAUAACCUACCUAUAAGACUGGGAUAACUUCGGGAAACCGGAGCUAAUACCGGAUGAUAUUUUGAACCGCAUGGUUCAAAAGUGAAAGACGGUCUUGCUGUCACUUAUAGAUGGAUCCGCGCUGCAUUAGCUAGUUGGUAAGGUAACGGCUUACCAAGGCAACGAUGCAUAGCCGACCUGAGAGGGUGAUCGGCCACACUGGAACUGAGACACGGUCCAGACUCCUACGGGAGGCAGCAGUAGGGAAUCUUCCGCAAUGGGCGAGAGCCUGACGGAGCAACGCCGCGUGAGUGAUGAAGGUCUUCGGAUCGGAAAACUCUGUUAUUAGGGAAGAACAUAUGCGUAAGUAACUGUGCACAUCUUGACGGUACCUGAUCAGAAAGCCACGGCUAACUACGUG